Molecule: ribosomal RNA, 497 nt
Filed under: uncultured bacterium
Lineage: Bacteria
Description: partial 16S ribosomal RNA
Rfam family: Bacterial small subunit ribosomal RNA
Source: RNAcentral
GAUGAACGCUGGCGGCGUGCCUAAUACAUGCAAGUCGAGCGAACGGACGAGAAGCUUGCUUCUCUGAUGUUAGCGGCGGACGGGUGAGUAACACGUGGAUAACCUACCUAUAAGACUGGGAUAACUUCGGGAAACCGUAGCUAAUACCGGAUAAUAUUUUGAACCGCAUGGUUCAAAAGUGAAAGACGGUCUUGCUGUCACUUAUACAUGGAUCCGCGCUGCAUUAGCUAGUUGGUAAGGUAACGGCUUACCAAGGCAACGAUGCAUAGCCGACCUGAGAGGGUGAUCGGCCACACUGGAACUGAGACACGGUCCAGACUCCUACGGGAGGCAGCAGUAGGGAAUAUUCCGCAAUGGGCGAAAGCCUGACGGAGCAACGCCGCGUGAGUGAUGAAGGUCUUCGGAUCGUAAAACACUGUUAUUAGGGAAGAACAGAUGUGUGAGUAACUGUGCACAUCUUGACGGUACCUAAUCAGAAAGCCACGGCUAACUACGUG